GCCGAAGCCCCGAAGUGCUCUGGCAUAUACCUUCACAUAUAUGCAAUGGCAAGCCCUUCCGUGUGUUCCAAAGGUAAAAUUUAAGCUCUAAAUUAAAGAAGACAUUUCUAGUCAGAAACAAGCAAAAAUGGUGAAUGCAGAGUAUCAGAAGCCCAAGGUACAGAAAAUAUGAGAAGUGUCGAAUGAUUUUAAGGAAAGAGUCGUAUUUGAAAAUGCAAGACUGUUUAGUGGAGGUCAAGCAAGUCAAUAUAGGUAGAAUACUCUGCAAAAUUGUGCAAGGGGAUGUCAAACAAUGGGUCAGGAAAUGCGUUGCUUUUCUGCAAAACAAAAGCUGAUUGCCAUUACAUAAGUCACUUUAGCAUCAUGAGGCUGCUGCUUGAUAAAUUCAUAAAUAAACCAAAAAAACAAGACAUGCAAAAAUAUAAAACAAUUCAAUGGUGCUCUCUCCACACUGGGAUAAAUAAAACAAACACAUCACAUCUAAUGUGGACAUAUCAGACGCCUUGUGAAACAAUAAAGGAAAAAUUCAGUUUCGAGCUAUGGCACUUGCCGCAUAGAUGUGGGGGGCCUUGCACUAAUAGUGAUAGUUACCACUGCAUUUAGAAAUUGAAAGCAUUCAUGCAGACAAGGAUGAUUCUUUAUAAUUCUGGCUACCACUUCAAAUGCCUCCACUAAGUGUUACAAUGCUGCACGCAGUCAUACUAAGGAUCUCGCAGCAACACCUGCAGGUAAAAAGCAAAAAGCAGCCAAAGUGCUGGUGUGUACUGGACACUAUGUUUGAAAACUUUUAGGCAAGAGGAGUGCAAGAAGCAGACAUAACUGCAUUUAUUUCCAAAAUUCCCCAUUUGAAUGGCCUUUUCUUUUUGCUUAGACAAUGCCUACGCCUAGCAGCCCCCUCAUACAGACUCCGCAAGCCAAGAGGCCGUGGAGGCAAAUGCAGGCAGCCAGCACACCCCGAACAGCCAUCUUGACUGUGGGUGUGUCACCCUAGUCACCAAGGAAACAUUUGAGGGAAAGUGACAGGCAACGUGAACAGCCACUUCUCCAUGUAAACAAUACUCUUUCUCUCGGAUGACUCCUACGCCUCGCCACGCCAGCACACUUAUGCACAAAGAUGCCACGGAGGCACGUGCAGGUCAGAGGCAAGAAGCAGUGGCACUGGUGUCGACAUUCACCCAAUUUCUUUUUCUUACACCGAGGCAGCCAGCACACCUCGAACAGCCACCUUGACUGCUGGUGUGUCAGUAGAUUCCUGUUGUACAUAUGCUCAUAAUAAACUUCAGUAAACUUGAACUUGAUAAUAAACUUGAAGGCA
This is a non-coding RNA of Dermacentor albipictus, 1315 nucleotides long. The record is from RefSeq and is a predicted model, not a curated record. NCBI's taxonomy places the organism in Eukaryota, Metazoa, Arthropoda, Arachnida, Ixodida, Ixodidae.